UACCAGCACCCCGAGUGGUCGGGACGAUUAUUGGGCCUAAAGCAUCCGUAGCCGGUUCUACAAGUCUUCCGUGAAAUCCACCUGCUUAACAGAUGGGCUGCAGAGGAUACUAUAGAGCUAGGAGGCGGGAGAGGCAAGCGGUACUUAGUGGGUAGGGGUAAAAUCCGUUGAUCCAUUGAAGACCACCAGUGGCGAAGGCGGCUUGCCAGAACGCACUCGACGGUGAGGGAUGAAAGCUGGGGGAGCAAACCGG
This 253-nucleotide ribosomal RNA is filed under the name uncultured bacterium. Its description in RNAcentral is "partial 16S ribosomal RNA". It matches the Rfam family "Archaeal small subunit ribosomal RNA", at positions 474 to 727 of the family's 1478-position model. The record is from RNAcentral.